This 389-nucleotide long non-coding RNA is filed under the name Gallus gallus (chicken). RNAcentral describes it as "lncRNA (ENSGALG00010026365.1)". The record is from RNAcentral. Lineage: Eukaryota; Metazoa; Chordata; Aves; Galliformes; Phasianidae.
CAUUUAUGUUUGCUUGUGUGUGUGGAGAACUGUUGGGGUUUUUUUUUGUUCCUUACCAGUACCACAUGGUGCACCUGUAUAGUGUUGUAGUGACUGAGAAUGUAAGACAGGCUGUACGGGUCCACAGGAGUGUGUGCAGUGUUGGGAAGGGUACAGUUGUACCUAUAGGUGUUUGAAGUGCCAGUACCAGGUGUCCAUGUUUCAGCUACAGAACCAUGGGAUGUAGACAAGGUGCAGCAGAGGUGGGCUUUGCAACACCGACUCCAGUGUACGCAUCACCACACAAAAGGCAUCACGGCUGCUGGACAAGUUGACCUCUUCCAGUUUGGACACCUGUUGCCAGCCAUCUGCUACAUGUGACAAGACAAGUGGGUUUGGGCCAAAUGAAC